GCCUCUGUAGCUCAGAAUGGUAGAGCACUGCACUGAAGAUGCAGGUGUCGAGGUUUCGAUAGCCUCCAGAGGCACCA
Molecule: transfer RNA, 77 nt
Filed under: bacterium
Lineage: Bacteria
Description: tRNA-Phe
Rfam family: tRNA
About the family: Transfer RNA (tRNA) molecules are approximately 80 nucleotides in length. Their secondary structure includes four short double-helical elements and three loops (D, anti-codon, and T loops).
Source: RNAcentral